AUGGCACCCAGGCACGCACCUUCCUCCGCCACAGCCAACGGUCAUCUCCGCCGUCCGCCCCCGCCUCACCCGCACCCACAGCCUCACCCGCCAGCGGGUCACUUCGAUCGCCGGCGGCCAGAUAGCGUUCCCGUCCCUACUGCUGCGGCGGCAGCCCCAUCCUCUUCCGCGGCGGACAGAUCUCGUCCUGCCACGGAGGUCCUGGAACCGGACAACGAUGGUUGGAUCGAAGUGCGGAACCGACGUCGACAGCGCCGUUACGAUGAUGCCGCCGCCGUCAAGCAACAGGAUAACUACAAGCCUUGGAUUCCUCGGUGGUUGGUGGGGCGUUGUUUUAAAUGCCUGGAGUCGGGCCACCUCAAAACGAAGUGCCCCAGUGAGAUCCGUUGUCACCGGUGCUAGAUCUCGGGCCACAUAGCUCGUGAUUGCCACUCCCACCCCACCUUUCAAGCUAAGCCCGCUCCUCCCCGUCGCCGAGAUCCCGCCCCCCGGGCCCGCCGCCAACCGCAGGCCUCCGUGCAGGGCAGACGACCGCCUGUGUCGUCGGAGGCACUGGUGCUGGCUCUGGGUCAGAUCUGUGGUGUGGAACGGCGCCAUGUUAGGGUGGAGGUCACCCACCCUGCCGACUUCUUCCUCACCUUUGCAUCGACCGAAGACUGUGAUCGGGUCUUCCGUGAAUUAGGCCGGAUCAGGUGCGCUGGAGCCCCCAUCGCGUUCCAGCGCUGGCACAGGAGUGCGCAGGCUUCUAGCGGCAAAUUGGAGUUUUUUUGCAAGCUUGGGAUUGAGGGUUUGCCGGCCAGUGCCUGGGAGUGGGGCUCCGUCAGUCAGCUCGUUAACAAGCUCCACGGCCAGUUGGUGGAAAUCCUCCCACCAGAUGACCGCUGGCAACUUGAUGUCACUGCCUGGAUGAAGAACCCCUCUGGUAUAUCUAAGAUCUACGGUCUCGAAGUCCCGGAUCCGUCUGGCCUGCCAGACACUGUGGAUGAGGACUGGCCGGUGGCACCACCGCCGCCC
RNAcentral lists this ribosomal RNA (1014 nucleotides) under Triticum aestivum (bread wheat). Its description in RNAcentral is "partial small subunit ribosomal RNA". Lineage: Eukaryota; Viridiplantae; Streptophyta; Magnoliopsida; Poales; Poaceae. The record is from RNAcentral.